AAGGUGCUCGUAAGAGAACCGGAACACAGGUGCUGCAUGGCUGUCGUCAGCUCGUGUCGUGAGAUGUUGGGUUAAGUCCCGCAACGAGCGCAACCCUUGUCAUUAGUUGCUACGAAAGGGCACUCUAAUGAGACUGCCGGUGACAAACCGGAGGAAGGUGGGGAUGACGUCAAGUCCUCAUGGCCCUUAUGGGUAGGGCUUCACACGUCAUACAAUGGUCGGGACAGAGGGUCGCCAACCCGCGAGGGGGAGCCAAUCCCAGAAACCCGAUCGUAGUCCGGAUUGCAGGCUGCAACUCGCCUGCAUGAAGUCGGAAUCGCUAGUAAUCGCGGAUCAGAAUGUCGCGGUGAAU
RNAcentral lists this ribosomal RNA (352 nucleotides) under uncultured Alcaligenes sp. Its description in RNAcentral is "bacterial SSU rRNA". It matches the Rfam family "Bacterial small subunit ribosomal RNA", at positions 1010 to 1367 of the family's 1533-position model. Lineage: Bacteria; Pseudomonadati; Pseudomonadota; Betaproteobacteria; Burkholderiales; Alcaligenaceae. The record is from RNAcentral.